Molecule: unclassified non-coding RNA, 233 nt
Filed under: rhizosphere metagenome
Description: partial ribosomal RNA internal transcribed spacer region
Source: RNAcentral
GUAGGUGAACCUGCGGAAGGAUCAUUCUUGAAUUUACUAGUUGGUAGCUCAUGCUGCUGCUAAUAUCUCUCUCUUGUGAACAAACAAAGCUGCCGCUUGUCUGGGAGACUCAGCACUGGGUCCUGGUCAGGCUGCGGUUUUAUUACCCACUUUGAAUUUUGAUUUAGCUUAUUAAACACGUAUAUUGUAUAAUACACUAAACACAACUUUCAGCAACGGAUCUCUAGGCUCUC